Molecule: long non-coding RNA, 398 nt
Organism: Propithecus coquereli (Coquerel's sifaka)
Lineage: Eukaryota; Metazoa; Chordata; Mammalia; Primates; Indriidae
Exons: 4
Source: RefSeq, a predicted model, not a curated record
CACAGCUUCACGCUGAGUUUUGUUUGGAAUCACGGAGUGAGAAGUUUCUUUGUGCUGCGUAGAGACUAACAAUGGACACCCAGAAGGACGUUCAACCACCAAAGCAGCAGCCAAUGAUAUAUAUCUGUGGAGAAUGUCACACAGAAAAUGAAAUAAAAUCCAGGGAUCCGAUCAGAUGCAGAGAGUGUGGAUACAGAAUAAUGUACAAGAAAAGGACUAAAAGAUUGGUGGUUUUUGAUGCCAGAUGAAACCUGUGAAUUCAGAGGAUUGUCAUUUAUACUUGGAUUUGUCCCAUUAAUGUUUCUCAGUGUUGCAUAGCUUUUGGUUUAACAUGCAGUAAUACUCCCCACUUAUGCUCAGGGGAUAUGUUCCAAGACCUGCAGUGGAUGCCUGAAACC